Molecule: ribosomal RNA, 764 nt
Filed under: Mycobacteroides chelonae
Lineage: Bacteria; Bacillati; Actinomycetota; Actinomycetes; Mycobacteriales; Mycobacteriaceae
Description: bacterial SSU rRNA
Rfam family: Bacterial small subunit ribosomal RNA
Source: RNAcentral
UUCGGGGUACUCGAGUGGCGAACGGGUGAGUAACACGUGGGUGAUCUGCCCUGCACUCUGGGAUAAGCCUGGGAAACUGGGUCUAAUACCGGAUAGGACCACACACUUCAUGGUGAGUGGUGCAAAGCUUUUGCGGUGUGGGAUGAGCCCGCGGCCUAUCAGCUUGUUGGUGGGGUAAUGGCCCACCAAGGCGACGACGGGUAGCCGGCCUGAGAGGGUGACCGGCCACACUGGGACUGAGAUACGGCCCAGACUCCUACGGGAGGCAGCAGUGGGGAAUAUUGCACAAUGGGCGCAAGCCUGAUGCAGCGACGCCGCGUGAGGGAUGACGGCCUUCGGGUUGUAAACCUCUUUCAGUAGGGACGAAGCGAAAGUGACGGUACCUACAGAAGAAGGACCGGCCAACUACGUGCCAGCAGCCGCGGUAAUACGUAGGGUCCGAGCGUUGUCCGGAAUUACUGGGCGUAAAGAGCUCGUAGGUGGUUUGUCGCGUUGUUCGUGAAAACUCACAGCUUAACUGUGGGCGUGCGGGCGAUACGGGCAGACUAGAGUACUGCAGGGGAGACUGGAAUUCCUGGUGUAGCGGUGGAAUGCGCAGAUAUCAGGAGGAACACCGGUGGCGAAGGCGGGUCUCUGGGCAGUAACUGACGCUGAGGAGCGAAAGCGUGGGUAGCGAACAGGAUUAGAUACCCUGGUAGUCCACGCCGUAAACGGUGGGUACUAGGUGUGGGUUUCCUUCCUUGGGAUCCGUGCCGUAGCUAACG